GGGCGCAUAGCGCAGUGGUAGCGCGUCCGCUUUGCAAGCGGAAGGCCCGGGUUCAAUCCCCGGUGUGUCCA
RNAcentral lists this transfer RNA (71 nucleotides) under Phytophthora infestans (potato late blight agent). It matches the Rfam family "tRNA". From Rfam's summary of the family: Transfer RNA (tRNA) molecules are approximately 80 nucleotides in length. The record is from Rfam by way of RNAcentral. Lineage: Eukaryota; Oomycota; Peronosporomycetes; Peronosporales; Peronosporaceae.